CUAUAUUAUGUGUCAGCAGCCGCGGUAAUAUAUAUGAGGGCACAAGUGGUCUCCAGAUAUUGGGGUAUAAAGCGCGCACGCGGUCUUUUAUAUGUGAUGUGAAAACGCACGGGUCUCCAGUGGAGGAGUCUCAGUAGAAUGUGGGACAUGUGUGCUGAAGAGGAGAGUGGAGUUUCACGAGUAGAGGUGAAAUAUGUAGAGAUAUGGAGGGAACACCACUGGCGAGGAAGAGUUUCUGGUGUGUGUAUGUCGCUGAGACGCGAAAAAGUGGGGGGCACACACGAUUAGAUAUCCCGGUAGUGCACCCCGUAAAAGAUGAGUGUUAAGUGUUAUAGGGGGUCUGCCCCCUAGUGUUGCAGAUAAAACACUAAGCACUCUCCCCGGGGAGUACGGGGGCAAGAGUGAAAAUCAAAAGAAAAUACGGGGGGGCCCACAAAAGGGGGAGCACAUGGUUUUUUUUUAAGAAACACGAGGAACCCCUUCACGUCUUGACAUCUCCCUUUGACCAUAGGAGAGAUAGGUUUUCCCUUUGGGGCACAGGUGACACGUGGGGCAUGGUUGUUUUCAGAUCUUGUUUUGAGAUAUUUGGGUAAGUCCCCCAAAGAGAGCAAACCCUGAUUUUAGUUGCCCCCAUUCAGAUGGGCACUCUAAAGUGACUGCCGGGGACAAAACCGAGGAAAGUGGGGAUGAGGUCAAAUCUUCAUGCCCCCUAUGACCUGGGGUACACACGUGUUACAAAAUGGGGUACAAAAGGGGGCAAAAACUCGAGGGGGAGCCAAAAUCAGAAAAACGUUUUCAGUUUUGAUUGCAGGGUGCAACUCUCCUGCAUGAAGCCGGAAAUUCUAGUAAAUUCGGAUCAGCAUGCCGCGGGAAACGUUUUCCGGCCUUUACACACCCCCCGUCACACCCCGAGAGUUUUAACACCCGAAGUUUGGGUGUGUUCCUUCGGAGCCAGCCGCCGAAGUGACAAAU
This 972-nucleotide ribosomal RNA is filed under the name uncultured Lysinibacillus sp. RNAcentral describes it as "partial 16S ribosomal RNA". It matches the Rfam family "Bacterial small subunit ribosomal RNA", at positions 497 to 1472 of the family's 1533-position model. The record is from RNAcentral. Lineage: Bacteria; Bacillati; Bacillota; Bacilli; Caryophanales; Bacillaceae.